This is a long non-coding RNA of Aphis gossypii (cotton aphid), 3127 nucleotides long. RefSeq lists it as uncharacterized. NCBI's taxonomy places the organism in Eukaryota, Metazoa, Arthropoda, Insecta, Hemiptera, Aphididae. The transcript is spliced from 4 exons. The record is from RefSeq and is a predicted model, not a curated record.
UUAGUAGAACACAAUAUGUAUAAGGUCGUAUCGUCGUCAUGAUGAUAUCAUUAUUAUUAUUAUAUCGUACACGUGUUGUGUUGAUGAUGACUCCGAAGGAUAAUAUAAAAAUAUAGGUAUAUAUAUAGAUUGUAUAUGAUAAUAUGCACGUACCUGCAUAUUAUAUAUUGACUGUUCAAUUUGAUCGAUUUGACGCUGUGCGUUCGGUACGAAUGUUUCUGAGAAAUUAAGUUUGAAAUAACCUCCCGUUGCAGGAGGACCAGGACCGCCGCUGUAUAGUAUAAGACUAUGGAAAACUCAAGAGUGUAGAAUGUAGAUAUACAUAUAGUUGCAAAAGCUCAAGAAAACCUCGAAUUAAAUAAUUCGAUAAGUAUAUUACGUAGGAUUCGAAACUGUAUUUUGAAAAGCGUGACCAAAUGUCCUAAACGAAUUAAAAUAUGUACGAAUCAUAAAUAAUUAUGUGGAGCACGAGUUCGUGAGCAGAUUUCAAAUAAUUACAACAUCGACACAAAAUUACCGUGUGACCAUGUGAAUACAUGGAUACUUAUUCAUUCGGAUUUAAAUUUUGAAGUGGUUGCCAAUAAUUACCUUCUUCUCUCAAAAUACUAUUGCCGUAAAUUCAUCAGGGAUUGAUCCAAAACGAUGAUUUAUGGAAGAUACAUAAUUUUGAAGUUUGAAUUUACGCCACAAACAUAAUAUUGUGAUAGACAAUACAAGAAACAAUUUCAAUUACUUAUAUCAGAAACUGAGCAGUUGUACAUAAAAAAUACUUACAAAAAUCUAAGAACACAUUUUUUAAAAAUAUACAAGGCGUGGAGUGCUGUUACCCACUUUGUUCACUUGAUGAGUAUACAAUCUUAGUCCAUUUGUGAUACUAAAUGACUAAACUGACUUAUGUUAGAAAAUUAUAAUCUGGUUAACCCGAGGUAUAUUUUCAUUACAAUUUCAACACAAUCCAAAAAUAUGCUAACCAUAUGUAGGGUGUAUUCACGUCCUCCAAUAUGAUUAUUAUUCGAUAUCCAAUAAUAUUUAUAUAUAUCGGUGGUUUUACCGUACCACAAGAUUUUGAACUGAAUUGAAUAUAUUUUCCAAAAGUACGCCUUACUUCACGCGUCUUGGCUUGCAUCUCUCCACCGUUCCUCCACAGCCACCACAAACCCUCAACCCUACCACCAUCGCGUACAGACCCCCUAAAUACGCUUUACAAGUUACAUGUAUACCGCAUCAUACAAGACCGUGUAAUAGUUAAUACGAUUUGUUUUUAUUUUUUUUUUGCUCUCCCCGACCGACGCUAAACGGAUCGGUCGUAUCGGCGGCGUCUCAUGAAUUUUUAUCGGAUCCCGGCAAAGUGUCCCCAGAGACGACCGCACACGCACACAUAUCAUUAUAUUAUAUACUCCACACACGACACACGCGACCAGAUGCAUAACAUUUAUAAGUAUACAUUGCACGCUUGGGCCGUACGCGACAGCCGCCCCAACUAUCGCGCAUAUAUAAUUAUUGCGGUCCGUCAAACCUGACACCCCGUCCUGCACGUAGUACAAAUACCGAAUGCGACCGUAAUUUUAUGAUAAUAUCUUUUAUCAACAUUCGCGGUGGUCUCCCGUAUUUUUGCGGCGGUCGCGGUUCUUUUUAUACAUUUUCCGUCGCUAAACGUCCGCAACCAUCAUCGAACGUAUUAUUACGACAUUUUUAUAAUAUCAUUACAAUAGCAGUUAUACCACUGCUACAGACGUCCAACGCGAUAUAUUAUCAAGCAAUAUAAUUAUACGAUUGCGUCAUCUAAUAAGUAAUCAGUGUGUGACGACGAUUGGAUUGUACGCGCGAAACUUAAACAGCGGCGAAGAUCGCCGUUACGCACAGUUAAUGCGGUUUAGGGACCGAGCUUGGGAUGGACCACUUAUUGUCGCCGCCAACUUUCAAAAUGUUGAGGAUGAAAACUUAUUUUGCGUUCGACAAGAAGUAUUUUACGUUAGCGCAAUAAGUUGUAUUACGUUGAUAAUCGUUUAAAAUUCAGUUUAACCAAUAAUUUUAAAUGCAAAAUUUAUUUACUUUAUACGGUCUAUUAAAUUUGAAUACUCUUCACAGUUUUCAUUGAAUAAAAAUUUCAUAAUACGUGAUUGAGACAUCUCCCUCCAAAGUUCUCUACCGUUGUUCAAUGUACCUAUUAUCUACAUUUUUUUUUUUUUUUUUUUGCUCCAUUCGUCGUUUAGCAGUGAUGCCGCAACUACCAUAUACGCACCAACUCGGUGUUCAUUAAAUCAUAUAAAAUAUAUUAUGUCAUGGACUCGGAACUAAAUAUUCUCUUUCGAAACACCGAAUUGUUCAGAAGAGCAAUUUAUUGUAAACUUUACAAUAUAUAAUAUUUUACGUUUAUUUCCUUUCAUAAUGAAUGCUCUUUAAUGAUUGUCAAAUCUAAAAAUUAUCAAUUUAUUCGACGUUACUUCUUGUAAAUUGAGUUGUUUUAAGAAAAACUUACCAACGUAAAAAAUACGAUAAUUAUUUAAAAAAUUAAUAGUUAAAUCUAUAUCUUAACGGUAAAAAUACUUUUCAUUCGUAAUAGAACAAAAACAAAUAUCCAAUAUAAGCACUGCAGUAUUAUACUAUAACGACGCGUAUGUAUAUUCACACAGACACAGUAUUCGUGUGUAUAACAUUUCACCAAUCGACUACUUCUAAUCAAACGCCUCCUUGUUUUGUCUGUAAUAUAUAUAUUUUAUUUCCUGUUGUAACAUCAAUAGUAAAUAUUAUGAGUAGGUAGUCAGGUCGUAUAAAUAUAGUACGAGUAUCGGAAUACAAAGUAUGACAGUAGAGUAUUCAGUAUAGUAUACAGCGAUAAACUAUUGAAUAUUAAUACAGUUUAUUUUGGUUGAACAAUGAAGGAAAAUAGGAAAAUAAGAAAGAAUCGGUCACAAUAUAAUUCAUAGUUUUAUCAAUAGACAAGCGAGAAAAACCAUUUCCAGAUUAUUGAAGUUCAUUUGUCUUAAAUUUCACUAAUUAUAAUAUUAAUAUUAUAUACUGGAAGAAUAAGAAAAAUGUGUUGGUUUUUAAUAAUUUAAUUUUAAUUAAAAAGUUGAUGAAGUGAUUAAAAGCUAUAGUGAGUACUUAUUUUUAUUUUGUUUUUUCU